GCUUUACCCUGCNAGUCGAGCGGGAACUGGGCUUUAGAGGAACGGGGACAGCGGCGAUCGGGUGAGUAAGAAAAGGGUAAUCUGCCCUCGGUACUGGGAUAGCCCGGGGAAACCUGGCUCUAAUACCGGAUAGCCCUUCGAGCCUUCGGGCUCGCAGGAAAAGGUAGCUUCGGCCUCCGACCGAGGAUGAGCCCGCGGCGGAUUAGCUUGUUGGUGGGGUAACGGCCUACCAAGGCUCCGAUCCGUAGCUGGUCUGAGAGGACGAUCAGCCACACUGGGACUGAGACACGGCCCAGACUCCUACGGGAGGCAGCAGUGGG
This 320-nucleotide ribosomal RNA is filed under the name uncultured bacterium. RNAcentral's name for it is "bacterial SSU rRNA". It matches the Rfam family "Bacterial small subunit ribosomal RNA", at positions 46 to 358 of the family's 1533-position model. The record is from RNAcentral.